This 750-nucleotide long non-coding RNA is filed under the name Ananas comosus (pineapple). RNAcentral's name for it is "long non-coding RNA (ACOM_LNC012657)". Lineage: Eukaryota; Viridiplantae; Streptophyta; Magnoliopsida; Poales; Bromeliaceae. The record is from RNAcentral.
AGAAAAUGAUCUCCCGCUUCUCGCUCUAUUUACUUCACAAAUCGGAGCGGAUUCGAGACGGGUUAUAUUUUUUCUAUUUUUUUUUCUCGCUUAUCACUCCAUUCGGAACGAAUCGGGACGGGAACUCCACCAACCCGGAUCCAUUUGCAUCUCUGACAUCAUGUUCAUCAUGUAUAUCAUCGAUAUUUUUUAGGUAACAAGCAAAUUUUCUUUCAUUAUUUUUCUCCAAAUAAAAGUAAAAAUAAAAAAAAAACUUAAAAAUAAAAAAAAACCCCCUCAACUGAUACUAAACAUUAGGGGUGGAAACGAGCCGAGCUCAAGCGAGCUUAUGUCAGCUCAAAUUCGGCUUGAAAUUAAUUUCGAGCCUAAAUCUAGGCUCAAGCUCGGCUUGAAAUUAAUUCGAGCCGAACUCGAGCGAGCCUAAUUUCGAGUCGAGUCGAGCUCGAGCUCUAAACGAGCCGAUUGAAAUUCUCGACAUAAUAUAAUCAAUAGUUUAAUUUUUAUAGAACAUUACCUAUAAUUUGAUACAACAUGUUCAAUAAUUCAAAAUACAAAAUAAUUAUAAGAAAUGUGAGCUAGGGUGACUGCCUGACUGGGUGAGGGUCAGAGAGAGAGAGAGAGAGAGGAAAAAAAAUUAGGGAUUUGAGAAUUUGAAUAUUAUCAUGUUUUAGGGUUAUGUGCAACAGUGAAAGUCUGAAAGAGAGAGUGUGUUAUGUAAAUUUAGAGUUGGGCUCAAUUGCACGGUUGUAU